GAAUAGCUCAGUCGGUAGAGCAUGAGACUCUUAAUCUCAGGGUUGUGAGCUGGAGCGUCAGGUUGGGCA
Non-coding RNA from Podarcis lilfordi (Lilford's wall lizard), 69 nucleotides. The record is from the annotation of a GenBank genome assembly. Lineage: Eukaryota; Metazoa; Chordata; Lepidosauria; Squamata; Lacertidae.